AUUGAACGCUGGCGGCAGGCCUAACACAUGCAAGUCGAGCGGAUGAAGGGAGCUUGCUCCUGGAUUCAGCGGCGGACGGGUGAGUAAUGCCUAGGAAUCUGCCUGGUAGUGGGGGAUAACGUCCGGAAACGGGCGCUAAUACCGCAUACGUCCUGAGGGAGAAAGUGGGGGAUCUUCGGACCUCACGCUAUCAGAUGAGCCUAGGUCGGAUUAGCUAGUUGGUGGGGUAAAGGCCUACCAAGGCGACGAUCCGUAACUGGUCUGAGAGGAUGAUCAGUCACACUGGAACUGAGACACGGUCCAGACUCCUACGGGAGGCAGCAGUGGGGAAUAUUGGCCAAUGGGCGAAAGCCUGAUCCAGCCAUGCCGCGUGUGUGAAGAAGGUCUUCGGAUUGUAAAGCACUUUAAGUUGGGAGGAAGGGCAGUAAGUUAAUACCUUGCUGUUUGGACGUUACCAACAGAAUAAGCACCGGCUAACUUCGU
Molecule: ribosomal RNA, 483 nt
Filed under: uncultured bacterium
Lineage: Bacteria
Description: partial 16S ribosomal RNA
Rfam family: Bacterial small subunit ribosomal RNA
Source: RNAcentral